Molecule: ribosomal RNA, 253 nt
Filed under: uncultured bacterium
Lineage: Bacteria
Description: partial 16S ribosomal RNA
Rfam family: Bacterial small subunit ribosomal RNA
Source: RNAcentral
UACGGAGGGUGCAAGCGUUAUCCGGAUUCACUGGGUUUAAAGGGUGCGUAGGCGGCUAUGUAAGUCAGGAGUGAAAGUUUGCGGCUCAACCGUAAAAUUGCUUUUGAUACUGCAUGGCUGGAAUUAGGAUGAGGUCAGCGGAAUGUGGCAUGUAGCGGUGAAAUGCAUAGAUAUGCCAUAGAACACCAAUUGCGAAGGCAGCUGGCUAGACCUGGAUUGACGCUGAGGCACGAAAGCGUGGGGAGCGAACAGG